This 253-nucleotide ribosomal RNA is filed under the name uncultured bacterium. RNAcentral's name for it is "partial 16S ribosomal RNA". It matches the Rfam family "Bacterial small subunit ribosomal RNA", at positions 524 to 776 of the family's 1533-position model. The record is from RNAcentral.
UAAGAAGGGGGCUAGCGUUGUUCGGGAUUACUGGGCGUAAAGCGCACGUAGGCGGAUUUGUUAGUCAGGGGUGAAAUCCCGGGGCUCAACCUCGGAACUGCCUUUGAUACUGCAAGUCUUGAGUCCGGAAGAGGUGAGUGGAAUUCCUAGUGUAGAGGUGAAAUUCGUAGAUAUUAGGAGGAACACCAGUGGCGAAGGCGGCUCACUGGUCCGGUACUGACGCUGAGGUGCGAAAGCGUGUGGAGCAAACAGG